RNAcentral lists this long non-coding RNA (248 nucleotides) under Mytilus galloprovincialis (Mediterranean mussel). The record is from RNAcentral. Lineage: Eukaryota; Metazoa; Mollusca; Bivalvia; Mytilida; Mytilidae.
CUGGAAGCAAUUCCCCCGACAUAUUUUCCGCAUGCAAAGUGACCUCAGUGUGACCCAUCUCGUAAAAAUCCGGUGAUCACAAUACGCAUGGAUGUCCUUAAAAUAAACUAUUAUCUGAAUUUACAUGUUAAACACGUGCUCAAUUUCCAUGCUUUUUUUGUUGAAUUUUUGUCGAUUGUUGACAAACAGGUGACUAUCGUUAAACUUCGGCUUCAAAACACGAACUUUAAUUACCUGCCAUAUUUUCA